RNAcentral lists this ribosomal RNA (254 nucleotides) under uncultured bacterium. RNAcentral describes it as "partial 16S ribosomal RNA". It matches the Rfam family "Bacterial small subunit ribosomal RNA", at positions 524 to 776 of the family's 1533-position model. The record is from RNAcentral.
UACGUAGGGCGCAAGCGUUGUCCGGAAUUAUUGGGCGUAAAGAGCUCGUAGGCGGCCAGUUGCGUCUGCUGUGAAAUCCCGGGGCUCAACCCCGGGCGUGCAGUGGAUACGGGCUGGCUAGAGGCAGGCAGGGGAGGAACGGAAUUCCCGGUGUAGCGGUGAAAUGCGCAGAUAUCGGGAGGAACACCGGUGGCGAAGGCGGUUCUCUGGGCCUGUACUGACGCUGAGGAGCGAAAGCGUGGGGAGCGAACAGG